AGUGAACGCUGGCGGUCUGCCUAACACAUGCAAGUCGAACGGCAGCACAGUAAGAGCUUGCUCUUACGGGUGGCGAGUGGCGGACGGGUGAGGAAUACAUCGGAAUCUACUUUUUCGUGGGGGAUAACGUAGGGAAACUUACGCUAAUACCGCAUACGACCUACGGGUGAAAGCAGGGGAUCUUCGGACCUUGCGCGAUUGAAUGAGCCGAUGUCGGAUUAGCUAGUUGGCGGGGUAAAGGCCCACCAAGGCGACGAUCCGUAGCUGGUCUGAGAGGAUGAUCAGCCACACUGGAACGGAGACACGGUCCAGACUCCUACGGGAGGCAGCAGUGGGGAAUAGUGGACAAUGGGCGCAAGCCUGAUCCAGCCAUACCGCGUGGGUGAAGAAGGCCUUCGGGUUGUAAAGCCCUUUUGUUGGGAAAGAAAAGCAGCAGGUUAAUACCCCGCUGUUCUGACGGUACCCAAAGAAUAAGCACCGGCUAACUUCGUG
RNAcentral lists this ribosomal RNA (492 nucleotides) under uncultured bacterium. RNAcentral describes it as "partial 16S ribosomal RNA". It matches the Rfam family "Bacterial small subunit ribosomal RNA", at positions 29 to 507 of the family's 1533-position model. The record is from RNAcentral.